GACGAACGCUGGCGGCGUGCUUAACACAUGCAAGUCGAACGGAAAGGCCUGCUUUCCCUUGUGGAUUGCGGGUACUCGAGUGGCGAACGGGUGAGUAACACGUGAGUGAUCUGCCCCCAACUUGGGUAUAAGCCUGGGAAACUGGGUCUAAUUCCCGAUAGGACUGCAGGGUGGUGCCUGUGGUGGAAAACGAUUUUCUAGUGGUUGGGGAUGAGCUCGCGGCCUAUCAGCUUGUUGGUGGGGUAAUGGCCUACCAAGGCGGCGACGGGUAGCCGGCCUGAGAGGGUGGACGGCCACAUUGGGACUGAGAUACGGCCCAGACUCCUACGGGAGGCAGCAGUGGGGAAUAUUGCACAAUGGGCGGAAGGCUGAUGCAGCGACGCAGCGUGGGGGAUGACGGCCUUCGGGUUGUAAAAUCCUUUCGACCGCGAGGAAGCCACCUGGUUGGAAGGGUGGUGACGGUAGUGGUAGAAGAAGCACCGGCUAACUACGU
Molecule: ribosomal RNA, 493 nt
Filed under: uncultured bacterium
Lineage: Bacteria
Description: partial 16S ribosomal RNA
Rfam family: Bacterial small subunit ribosomal RNA
Source: RNAcentral